ACAAAAGAGGUACCGAGUAUACGGAUGGAAAAAGGCAAACGAUUCACCUUCUAUGAGUAUUUUUCUUUUUCUUACAUAACUGAAUAGGACAAAACAAAUACACAACCAAUGAAAAGAUGAUAAAUUAAAAAAGGUGGAAAAAAUUGACAGGUGCGGUGGGAGGCAUCACUCAAUCCAGAAAAAGAGACUGAAGGGAGUGAAAGUGUUGGGUUCGGCAGGGGGUGGUUCCUUCUCCUUCACAGGGUGGCAGGCUGAUGGGAUCCAGCUGUUGCUCAUCACCUCCAAUCUGCAAGGUCCUCAAAGGGGAGCGGCUUCCAGAGUCGGAUGCCAGAUGGUUCCGCUUCUACAGUGGUACUCUCUAGCUGUCAGUGCUGUAUUCCCAGUGUUCUCCUUGUUCUGACUCCUUUUUGUCUGCUCCUCCCUCUACAGUGAACCCGAGCUGUACACUCUCUGAACCGGCCCCACCUGAAGAAUCGGAUCCUAGCUGCUCUGUUUGGCCUUGCACCUGGGUGCGUGACGCCCGCCACUCAGCUGCUGUCUGUCCACCCUCAAUUGCCUGCUGGAACUUCCCCCAUCUGGAAAACCCUGCCGGACUCCCAUGUACUCUCCUCUGCUUACCUCAACCCGCAGCCCUUCCUCCGCUGGCCCAGUUCCUCCCUGCUGCCGCUGAUCGACGACCCUCCACACACUCUCCAGCACAUUCAGUUACCAAAUAAAUCUGUUAAAACUGUUUGGGUGUCCAUAGUUGUUGCUUGCCUUAAGAGUCCUAGAAACCUCGCAUUAUGACAGAAAGAAUAUCAUGAAAGGAUGCCAUAAGUUAUAGAAUUUAGCAGAGUUGCCUUUCACUGAAUAUCUGAUCCUCUCAAAUCAGAUAUUUUUAAGCUCCUUCCAGUAGAAAGAAGUUUCAUUACUGAAAUACUAAUAGCUCUUUGAAAUAGAAUAGAAUAGAAUGUACUUUAUUGAUCCCCAAGGGGAAAUUGGUUAUUUGUUGAAAGCUACUCCAUCUUAGGUAAUAACUACAAAGUUUGUAGUAUAUAUAGAUAA
Xiphophorus couchianus (Monterrey platyfish) is the source of this 1044-nucleotide long non-coding RNA. RefSeq lists it as uncharacterized. The record is from RefSeq and is a predicted model, not a curated record. The transcript has 2 exons. NCBI's taxonomy places the organism in Eukaryota, Metazoa, Chordata, Actinopteri, Cyprinodontiformes, Poeciliidae.